RNAcentral lists this ribosomal RNA (405 nucleotides) under uncultured bacterium. RNAcentral's name for it is "bacterial SSU rRNA". It matches the Rfam family "Bacterial small subunit ribosomal RNA", at positions 29 to 438 of the family's 1533-position model. The record is from RNAcentral.
AUUGAACGCUGGCGGAAUGCUUUACACAUGCAAGUCGAGCGGCAGCGCGGGGCAACCUGGCGGCGAGCGGCGAACGGGUGAGUAACAUAUCGGAACGUACCCAGUCGUGGGGGAUAACUAUCCGAAAGGAUAGCUAAUACCGCAUACGACCUGAGGGUGAAAGCGGGGGACCGAAAGGCCUCGCGCGAUUGGAGCGGCCGAUAUCGGAUUAGCUAGUUGGUGAGGUAAAGGCUACCAAGGCGACGAUCCGUAGCUGGUCUGAGAGGACGACCAGCCACACUGGAACUGAGACACGGUCCAGACUCCUACGGGAGGCAGCAGUGGGGAAUUUUGGACAAUGGGGGCAACCCUGAUCCAGCCAUUCCGCGUGAGUGAAGAAGGCCUUCGGGUUGUAAAGCUCUUCGG